This 472-nucleotide ribosomal RNA is filed under the name uncultured bacterium. RNAcentral describes it as "bacterial SSU rRNA". It matches the Rfam family "Bacterial small subunit ribosomal RNA", at positions 355 to 825 of the family's 1533-position model. The record is from RNAcentral.
UGGGGAAUAUUGGGCAAUGGGCGCAAGCCUGACCCAGCGACGCCGCGUGGGUGAUGAAGGCCUUCGGGUUGUAAGGCUCUUUCGGCAGGAACGAAACGGUUUGGGCUAAUACCCCAGACUACUGACGGUACCUGAAGAAGAAGCACCGGCUAACUACGUGCCAGCAGCCGCGGUAAUACGUAGGGUGCGAGCGUUAAUCGGAUUUACUGGGCGUAAAGCAUGCGCAGGCGGCGGUUCAAGUCAGGUGUGAAAUCCCCGAGCUUAACUUGGGAAUUGCGCUUGAAACUAGAUCGCUAGAGUACGGCAGAGAGGGGUAGAAUUCCACGUGUAGCAGUGAAAUGCGUAGAGAUGUGGAGGAACACCGAUGGCGAAGGCAGCCCCCUGGGCCUGUACUGACGCUCAUGCAUGAAAGCGUGGGGAGCAAACGGGAUUAGAUACCCCUGUAGUCCCUGAGCGGGCUGGCAAGGCGCAU